GACGAACGCUGGCGGCGUGCCUAACACAUGCAAGUCGAACGGUAAGGCCCUUCGGGGUACGCGAGUGGCGAACGGGUGAGUAACACGUGGGUGAUCUGCCCUGCACUUCGGGAUAAGCCUGGGAAACUGGGUCUAAUACCGGAUAGGACUCCGGACUGCAUGGUCUGGGGUGGAAAGCUUUUGCGGUGUGGGAUGGGCCCGCGGCCUAUCAGCUUGUUGGUGGGGUGAUGGCCUACCAAGGCGACGACGGGUAGCCGGCCUGGGAGGGUGACCGGCCACACUGGGACUGAGAUACGGCCCAGACUCCUACGGGAGGCAGCAGUGGGGAAUAUUGCACAAUGGGCGCAAGCCUGAUGCAGCGACGCCGCGUGAGGGAUGACGGCCUUCGGGUUGUAAACCUCUUUCAGCAUCGACGAAGCGAAAGUGACGGUAGGUGCAGAAGAAGGACCGGCCAACUACGUGCCAGCCGCCGCAGUAA
Molecule: ribosomal RNA, 478 nt
Filed under: uncultured bacterium
Lineage: Bacteria
Description: partial 16S ribosomal RNA
Rfam family: Bacterial small subunit ribosomal RNA
Source: RNAcentral